GAUGAACGCUGGCGGCGUGCCUAAUACAUGCAAGUCGAGCGAACAGACGAGGAGCUUGCUCCUCUGACGUUAGCGGCGGACGGGUGAGUAACACGUGGAUAACCUACCUAUAAGACUGGGAUAACUUCGGGAAACCGGAGCUAAUACCGGAUAAUAUAUUGAACCGCAUGGUUCAAUAGUGAAAGACGGUUUUGCUGUCACUUAUAGAUGGAUCCGCGCCGCAUUAGCUAGUUGGUAAGGUAACGGCUUACCAAGGCAACGAUGCGUAGCCGACCUGAGAGAGUGAUCGGCCACACUGGAACUGAGACACGGUCCAGACUCCUACGGGAGGCAGCAGUAGGGAAUCUUCCGCAAUGGGCGAAAGCCUGACGGAGCAACGCCGCGUGAGUGAUGAAGGUCUUCGGAUCGUAAAACUCUGUUAUUAGUGAAAAACAAAUGUGUAAGUAACUAUGCACGUCUUGACGGUACCUAAUCAGAAAGCCACGGCUAACUACGUG
Molecule: ribosomal RNA, 497 nt
Filed under: uncultured bacterium
Lineage: Bacteria
Description: partial 16S ribosomal RNA
Rfam family: Bacterial small subunit ribosomal RNA
Source: RNAcentral